CCUUUAAAAAAUUUGAUAUACACUUGUAACUUGUUGAAUAGAUUCAAGUUUUUCCUAAGUUUAGGUAAAUUUUUGUACAUACUUACAAUAGAUAAAUUUAAUCCAUGCAUACUUACGAAUAAAAAAUCAAUCUUCUGACUUCAUCAAAUCAACUAAAAAAAAUAUCAUCAAUUAAUCAAUUCAACCUAUUAAAAAGUCAAACUGAAAAAUAAUGAGAAAAGGAAAGAAGUGCAAACCGUCCAUAUGGGAACACGAAAGCGAUCUUGGAGAGACAAUGGUCAAUUAAUCUAAAAAUGGUCCCAUCCAUAGGCUAUCAGGGCACUAAGAUAGGGCAACCCACACGCCCAUAGCUCAUGUCCACUUGCAAAGCUCAACCCCGACCAUUGCAAUGUUCAAUGUCCCCAAAACCAGCCACAUAAGUCCCUCAUCUAAUUUAAACCACCCUAACCCACUAGACCUAGAACCCUAUGGUCCAAAGCCCAGCCCCAAAGGGUGUCCAAAACCCACAUUUAAUAUACGCACACCCAUUGACGCAAACGUUGCAGAAGUAGUGAAAUUCAUUGUCAUGAUCCACAGAUGGCAAAAGACUUUCACUUUCCAAAGAAAAAUAUGUACUUUUGCUUCGGCACAUGCUCUGGCGAACCCACCCCCUCGCACCAUCAUCCUCCCACCCCCCAUCAAUAUCCUCUUUCAACUUCAUAAAUCUUUCAUUUAAUUCCAUGGCCAUUCUUUCUCAUAAAUAUAAUAAAUUUAUUUCAUCCAAAGCACAAAUGACCCAAAGAGAGAGCAUAGACAAAAUAUAUCAAUUGGUAGAUCUAUAUUAUAUAUAAAGUGAUUGAUUGAGUUGGUGAUACGAGUCAACUCGACACUAAUUUAACUAUAAAAUUACUAAAAUAUAUUUACUUUAAAGGGUAAUUAAC
RNAcentral lists this long non-coding RNA (920 nucleotides) under Gossypium raimondii (Peruvian cotton). Its description in RNAcentral is "long non-coding RNA (GRAI_LNC002217)". Lineage: Eukaryota; Viridiplantae; Streptophyta; Magnoliopsida; Malvales; Malvaceae. The record is from RNAcentral.